AGGACGAACGCUGGCGGCGUGCUUAACACAUGCAAGUGGAGCGACGAACCAGGCUUCGGCCUGGGGCAGAGCCGCGAACGGGUGAGUAACACGUGGGUAACCUGCCCUGAUGAUUGGGACAACCCGAGGAAACUCGGGCUAAUACCAAAUGUGCCCCCUGGCCUCAAGGCCUUUGGGGAAAGGAAGCUUCGGCCUCCGCAUCGGGAUGGGCCCGCGGCCCAUUAGCUUGUUGGUGAGGUAAUGGCUCACCAAGGCUACGAUGGGUAGCUGGUCUGAGAGGACGAUCAGCCACACUGGGACUGAGACACGGCCCAGACUCCUACGGGAGGCAGCAGUGGGGAAUCUUGCGCAAUGCGCGAAAGCGUGACGCAGCAACGCCGCGUGGGGGAAGAAGGCCUUCGGGUUGUAAACCCCUUUCAGUUGGACGAAGCUUCGCCGGUGAACAGCCGGCUGGAGUGACGGUACCUUCAGAAGAGCCCGGCUACUACGUGCCAGCGAGCCGCGGUAAU
RNAcentral lists this ribosomal RNA (509 nucleotides) under uncultured bacterium. RNAcentral's name for it is "SSU rRNA". It matches the Rfam family "Bacterial small subunit ribosomal RNA", at positions 26 to 524 of the family's 1533-position model. The record is from RNAcentral.